RNAcentral lists this ribosomal RNA (1474 nucleotides) under Lacticaseibacillus rhamnosus. RNAcentral describes it as "bacterial SSU rRNA". It matches the Rfam family "Bacterial small subunit ribosomal RNA". Lineage: Bacteria; Bacillati; Bacillota; Bacilli; Lactobacillales; Lactobacillaceae. The record is from RNAcentral.
AAUGCAGUCGAACGAGUUCUGAUUAUUGAAAGGUGCUUGCAUCUUGAUUUAAUUUUGAACGAGUGGCGGACGGGUGAGUAACACGUGGGUAACCUGCCCUUUAAGUGGGGGAUAACAUUUGGAAACAGAUGCUAAUACCGCAUAAAUCCAAGAACCGCAUGGUUCUUGGCUGAAAGAUGGCGUAAGCUAUCGCUUUUGGAUGGACCCGCGGCGUAUUAGCUAGUUGGUGAGGUAACGGCUCACCAAGGCAAUGAUACGUAGCCGAACUGAGAGGUUGAUCGGCCACAUUGGGACUGAGACACGGCCCAAACUCCUACGGGAGGCAGCAGUAGGGAAUCUUCCACAAUGGACGCAAGUCUGAUGGAGCAACGCCGCGUGAGUGAAGAAGGCUUUCGGGUCGUAAAACUCUGUUGUUGGAGAAGAAUGGUCGGCAGAGUAACUGUUGUCGGCGUGACGGUAUCCAACCAGAAAGCCACGGCUAACUACGUGCCAGCAGCCGCGGUAAUACGUAGGUGGCAAGCGUUAUCCGGAUUUAUUGGGCGUAAAGCGAGCGCAGGCGGUUUUUUAAGUCUGAUGUGAAAGCCCUCGGCUUAACCGAGGAAGUGCAUCGGAAACUGGGAAACUUGAGUGCAGAAGAGGACAGUGGAACUCCAUGUGUAGCGGUGAAAUGCGUAGAUAUAUGGAAGAACACCAGUGGCGAAGGCGGCUGUCUGGUCUGUAACUGACGCUGAGGCUCGAAAGCAUGGGUAGCGAACAGGAUUAGAUACCCUGGUAGUCCAUGCCGUAAACGAUGAAUGCUAGGUGUUGGAGGGUUUCCGCCCUUCAGUGCCGCAGCUAACGCAUUAAGCAUUCCGCCUGGGGAGUACGACCGCAAGGUUGAAACUCAAAGGAAUUGACGGGGGCCCGCACAAGCGGUGGAGCAUGUGGUUUAAUUCGAAGCAACGCGAAGAACCUUACCAGGUCUUGACAUCUUUUGAUCACCUGAGAGAUCAGGUUUCCCCUUCGGGGGCAAAAUGACAGGUGGUGCAUGGUUGUCGUCAGCUCGUGUCGUGAGAUGUUGGGUUAAGUCCCGCAACGAGCGCAACCCUUAUGACUAGUUGCCAGCAUUUAGUUGGGCACUCUAGUAAGACUGCCGGUGACAAACCGGAGGAAGGUGGGGAUGACGUCAAAUCAUCAUGCCCCUUAUGACCUGGGCUACACACGUGCUACAAUGGAUGGUACAACGAGUUGCGAGACCGCGAGGUCAAGCUAAUCUCUUAAAGCCAUUCUCAGUUCGGACUGUAGGCUGCAACUCGCCUACACGAAGUCGGAAUCGCUAGUAAUCGCGGAUCAGCACGCCGCGGUGAAUACGUUCCCGGGCCUUGUACACACCGCCCGUCACACCAUGAGAGUUUGUAACACCCGAAGCCGGUGGCGUAACCCUUUUAGGGAGCGAGCCGUCUAAGGUGGGACAAAUGAUUAGGGUGAAGUCGUA